Molecule: ribosomal RNA, 253 nt
Filed under: uncultured bacterium
Lineage: Bacteria
Description: partial 16S ribosomal RNA
Rfam family: Bacterial small subunit ribosomal RNA
Source: RNAcentral
UACGGAGGGUGCGAGCGUUGUCCGGAAUCACUGGGCGUAAAGGGCGCGUAGGUGGCGCGGGCAGUCAACGGUGAAAGUUCGGGGCUCAACCCUGAAUCGGCCGUCGAUACUCCCGAGCUGGAGCACUGUAGAGGCUCAUGGAAUUCCGGGUGUAGCGGUGGAAUGCGUAGAGAUCGGAAAGAACACCAACGGCGAAAGCACUCUGCGGGGCCGACACUGACACUGAGAGACGAAAGCUAGGGGAGCGAAUGGG